GCGAAGUACUAUUUGGGGGGAAGGGUGGGUGACAAAAACCCUGCGGUGUCCUCCUUCCCUUCAGCGCUCCUGGGGAUAUUUUCAAGCACGGUGUUUGUUAUACGGCGCUCUGGCAUAUUCGUGAAAUGACAGGAAAACAGAACGGAAUAAAAUGAGAACUGCUGACUGCUAGAAGCAGCUUAGAAAGAAACCCCUCUAACUGCAAAUAGAGAUCCCUGCAACCCUCUGUGACUCCACUUGGUGCAUUUUGACUGCUUGUGCCACGUAAGGCAGGUCAUUUGGUGCUGGAAGCCUGAAAUACCCUGGGAGACUGGCACAGGCACUGCUGGCAGGGAUAGGAGAGAAAGGGCCUCCUUUCUCCUGCCUGCACACAAGGUGCAGGUGCCAGCCAGCAUCCUUGAUACAACAUUGACUUAGAUAAAGAAAUUCUGCAUAGAAAAUCCCGAUUA
Molecule: long non-coding RNA, 449 nt
Organism: Poecile atricapillus (Black-capped chickadee)
Lineage: Eukaryota; Metazoa; Chordata; Aves; Passeriformes; Paridae
Exons: 3
Source: RefSeq, a predicted model, not a curated record